This is a long non-coding RNA of Canis lupus familiaris (dog), 1386 nucleotides long. RefSeq lists it as uncharacterized. NCBI's taxonomy places the organism in Eukaryota, Metazoa, Chordata, Mammalia, Carnivora, Canidae. The transcript has 2 exons. The record is from RefSeq and is a predicted model, not a curated record.
ACUCCUGAUUUCACGUCAGGUCAUGAUCUCAGGGUUGUGAGAUCGAGCCCCACAUCAGGCUCUGUGCAUAUUUAAAAAAAGUUUAUACAGAGGACUUAACUUGGUUUAGUUAUUUGCUCUCAACAACAUCUUAAUUGUCUCAAGAACACCUCACUCUCAUCAGACUGCAUCCCCAAAAGGGCUGCCGGCAUGAGAAUAGUAGUUUGCAGGCACAUUUCAAGGACAGGGGAGGGUUUAAGGAGCUUCUUCUCAAGAUCUUUGACCUAACAUCUGCAAAGAUCCUUUCUUCCAAAUAAGGUGACAGACGUGUCCUGUUUCCAGAAAUAUGACGUGGGCAUACCUUCAGGGGGAACACCAUUUGACACUCCACAGAAACUACACAUUAUUAUUACAUAAAAACUGUGCUCCUGUCUCGGGUAAGAGAAAUAUUGGCCCCUGAAAGAUGCCCACAUUGUAACCCUUGGAACAUAUCAUAUUGCCAUGCAAACAGGCUUCUGCAGAAGUGAUUCAGUUAAGGAUUCUGAGAUGGGAAGAUUGUCCCGGAUUUUCCAGGAAACCCAAUAUGAUCAGAAGAACCAGUGUAAGAGGGAAGCAGGAAGGUCAGAGUGAAGGAGGAUGUGGCUACACGGCUGAGGACAGGGGGGCAGGUGCACACACCAAGGACGGAGGGCAGCCUCCGGAACCAGGAAAAGGCAAGGGACAGAAUCUUCCCUACAGCAUCCGGAUAAAACACAGUCCUUGAUUUUAACCUUACAAAACCAUUUCAGACUUUUUCUUCUAGACAUGCAACUAAUACAUCUGUAUUGUUUUAUACCACUAAGUUCCAGGUAAUUUGUUACAGAGCAUUGGAAAUGACACAGGAUGCAAUGUCUUUCACGGCAUAUUAACAGUUGUGUGUUUAAGGACAGUCUGACUACCAUGGUUUUAAUUCACUGCUAGGGCUGCCUGAUUUGAGAAAAGGGAAGUCAAUUCUAUUCUAUUUCUACUCAAGGAAUUAUUUUAUGUUAGUUGGGAUGUUAACAGAAUGUUAACCUGAUGUUAACAAAAUCAAGAAUUUGAAUUCUGUUUUGUUUUGUUUUUCCUUAGCUUCGAGAUAAGACCUGCCAUUGACCCUACAAGAGGAUUCCUAACAGAUGUUUUACGGGGUCACUCUCAGGAGUCCAUGCUCUCUCAAUAUAGCCAGAGAGAGAGCGAGCAUGAGCAGGAGGGCCAGAGGGAGAGCGAGAGAGAAUUUCAAGCACACCCCUACCUGAACAUGAAGUGACGGGGGCGGAUCUCAGGACCAUGAGAUCACUACCUGAGCCAAGACCAAGAGCUGGAUGCUGAACUGGCUACACCACCCAGGCGCCCCAAAAUUAAACACUUUAAACAAUAGUAAAUUGUCAA